RNAcentral lists this ribosomal RNA (465 nucleotides) under uncultured bacterium. RNAcentral describes it as "bacterial SSU rRNA". It matches the Rfam family "Bacterial small subunit ribosomal RNA", at positions 331 to 795 of the family's 1533-position model. The record is from RNAcentral.
CCAGACUCCUACGGGAGGCAGCAGUGAGGAAUAUUGGUCAAUGGUCGGGAGACUGAACCAGCCAAGCCGCGUGAGGGAUGAAGGUACAGAGUAUCGUAAACCUCUUUUGUCAGGGAACAAAGGCGGGGACGUGUCCCCGGAUGAGUGUACCUGAAGAAAAAGCAUCGGCUAACUCCGUGCCAGCAGCCGCGGUAAUACGGAGGAUGCGAGCGUUAUCCGGAUUUAUUGGGUUUAAAGGGUGCGCAGGCGGGGUGUUAAGUCAGGGGUAAAAGCCGGGGGCCCACCCCCGGCCCGCCGUCGGAACUGGGUGCCUUGAGUGGGCGAGAAGUAUGCGGAAUGCGUGGUGUAGCGGUGAAAUGCAUAGAUAUCACGCAGAACCCCGAUUGCGAAGGCAGCAUACCGGCGCCCUACUGACGCUGAGGCACGGAAGUGCGGGUAUCGAACAGGAUUAGAUACCCCAGUAAC